GAUGAACGCUAGCGGCAGGCUUAAUACAUGCAAGGCGAGGGGGCAGCAAUGUCACCGUCGUACGGGUGCGUAACGCGUAUGCAACCUACCUUCAACUGGGGGAUAGCCCGGGGAAACCCGGAUUAAUACCGCAUAACACGAGGGGUACAGCAUUGUACUAUUUGUUAAAGAUUUAUUGGUUGAAGAUGGGCAUGGCGUUC
This 200-nucleotide ribosomal RNA is filed under the name uncultured bacterium. RNAcentral's name for it is "partial 16S ribosomal RNA". It matches the Rfam family "Bacterial small subunit ribosomal RNA", at positions 28 to 238 of the family's 1533-position model. The record is from RNAcentral.